GACUAUUUCAACAACAUUUGAAUAUAGAUAUGGUGAUCUAUCCAAGCAUUAUACAUGAUGAACUGGCUAUCUUGCAAGGUCAUCAUGAAAGGGCUCAGUUCCGAAAUGCCCUAUGAACCAGCGUUUCCGUACUAAUACUAGUCAAAAUAACUAAGCCAACAUAGGGCAUACAAAAGCAUCAAAAUGAUCGUCGUUUUCGAAAUACACAAAUAAUGUCCUACUAAAUGCACAAGAGAUUGUCUGAUGCAUUACGUGCUUGACCCUUGGGUUGAAGCAUACGUGUUUGACUGAUUUAAUCUGAUGAGUAUCUGUUUAUCCUUGGUCACAAAAAUCUACCAACAGUUAGUAGAUCACAAUGAUUCAAAUCACAAAUGGCAAUUAGACAAAGUGUUUCAAUAAUUUGCCAAACAAUUGAAAAUGAAUAACCAUAGGGUAGAAAUGAAUUGACUGAAAGGUCGAAGCAAAAUGACCUAAUAGUCUGAACCCGUUUGGCUUUUCAGAUGAAGGUUUAAAAUAUAUAGGUUUAAAGACCCAUAUAUGACGACUACUGAGAUUUUGGCCAUGUGGACUGGCCAGGUCCGACACAACUACUUCUCAGUCACUCGGAAAUACUUUUCCGAACUUGGUAACUCUUGUUCAUUGGCUGCAAAAGGUAUACUUGGUCUAAAAUCACCACUUUCAUUUAAACAUCUUGAACAUGUCCUUGACAAUAUUCUAGAGCUUCUCAAACUUAGAGUCUGCCUCCUAAUUUAAUGCAAUCCCUAAACAUCUUCUAUAGGCGA
RNAcentral lists this long non-coding RNA (782 nucleotides) under Salvia miltiorrhiza (redroot sage). RNAcentral describes it as "long non-coding RNA (SMIL_LNC012652)". The record is from RNAcentral. Lineage: Eukaryota; Viridiplantae; Streptophyta; Magnoliopsida; Lamiales; Lamiaceae.